ACAUCCUCUAAAUUCAGCAAAGACGACCAUGAAUUCCUUACGCAGUUCAAUGGUUGCUGUUAUCUUUGCCAUGACAUUGAUCCUUAAUUUCAUAUGGAGUGAAUAUGUACCAAGCUAGGGCAUACCCAUCUGCAUCCUUAGUUUCAAAAAUGUCACAAUCUUCCCAAUCACUUUCACGUCCACUCUGGCACAAAGAAGGGCAAAAAUCAACUCAGGAUCCCGUGGUAGAAAAGCACCAUCUGGCAGUUCCAAUCCUAUAAAUAACUAGUAAGAUAACUUCCCUUUUCUUCAUUAGUGUCUGCUCAUUGUUUUUAUUUAUUUAUUUAUAAUAUCUAGAAAUUCACAGGAAAUGGUGCAUGUUCAGUGGGUUGAAGCCUAUGAAAAGGGGCAAAGAAAAAGCAACAUGAAGAUUCCAAGCUGUAGUAUGAACUCUGUUAAGGUCUCUAGUUUUGCUUUUUUUUUUUUCAGUGUGCUUUACUGUUUCUCCAGCUUUAAAUUUCUAGGUUUGAUAGUGAGAACGGUAUAGUUCAUGACUUUAGAAUUUAUAUUGCUCUUUAUUUGAUCUUACCUGUGAUGUUUUAGAUCGUAGAGAAUAAUCUUGUAUCCUAUGAAUGGAAAGGAUCGGAGAAAAAUAAUAGCAAUAUAUAUGUUGAUGGUGAGAAAUUAUUUUGAGUUUUUUUUUUUUAUGAAUUUCAAAUGAUUUUAAGUUGAAAAGAUAACUUUUUAUAUAUAAUGACUCUAAUCAACAAAUAUUUUCA
Molecule: long non-coding RNA, 758 nt
Filed under: Glycine max (soybean)
Lineage: Eukaryota; Viridiplantae; Streptophyta; Magnoliopsida; Fabales; Fabaceae
Description: long non-coding RNA (GMAX_LNC002948)
Source: RNAcentral